CACAAAUCAAAUUGAACCGUUCUCAGUCUUUAGCGAGGUCCCUCUACAGCUCCACAUGUGGUGGAAUGAUUUGGGAGAUGGUAGUAAAAAGAUAGUGGAAAGAAUUUUGGGAGGUCUGGUCAAUCUGUUGGAUAUCAAGACAAUGACAGACAUCAUUUAAUGAUUUGGGAGAUGAUAGUAAAAAAUAGUGAAAAGAAUUUUGGGAGGUCUCGUCAGUCUGCUAGACAUCAAGCCAAGGACAGACGUCAUUGAAGCUUUAAUACCGUUCUGGGAUCCAACCCAUUAUGUAUUUCACUUUACAGACUUUGAGCUUACACCUACACUAGAGGAGGUUGCGGUUAUGUAGGUUUGGAUGGAAAAUUGAGGGGGCAAUAUUUGCUUUCACCUAGACCGGUGUCUCCACAUGGGUUUUGAAUUUGCUACACAUUAAUCGGAAAGUGCAAGAUGACGAUUUGUCGAAAGGCUAUUGUGCUCUUCAAUUCUUAUAUCAACGGUAUGGUACUUCUCGGGGUUUUGAAGAACUGAAUCUCGGGCUAACUCACAAUGGGGACAAAAAUAAGUGGGAGGCAAGACGUCCUUUAGCUUUCCUGAUGGCCUUCUUGGGAAUCGUGGUUUGUCCAUGCAAAGAAAAGAAAAUAGAGAUAGGACUUGUUGGGAUGGGCGACGUCGCGAUCAAAAGGCCCAAUAGUACUGUGGUCCCUUUGGUGUUAUCUGAAAACUACCAAGCCUUAACUGUGCGUCGGGAGGGAGGCGAUUAUUUCCAGGGUUGCAAUGUAUUACUCUAGCUAUGGAUACAGGAACAUCUCUGUCAUCGUGUAGGAUACAUGUAUCACGGGUUAACUGAAAAAAACCGCAUCAGUGUUUUUGAGAAAUGGGUGACGGGCGUUGAAUUCCCUGAAGGUGUCGAAUCAUGGUUUGCACAAUUGAGGUCAUUGACAGCUAAUCAAGUUGAAUGGGCAUUUGGAUGGUUGCCUGAUACCGAGGUAAUACACAUGG
RNAcentral lists this long non-coding RNA (996 nucleotides) under Nicotiana benthamiana. Its description in RNAcentral is "long non-coding RNA (NBEN_LNC027805)". The record is from RNAcentral. Lineage: Eukaryota; Viridiplantae; Streptophyta; Magnoliopsida; Solanales; Solanaceae.